GUGCCAGCAGCAGCGGUAAUACAGAGACCUCGAGCGUUAUCCGGUAUCACUGGGCGUAAAGCGUACCGAUCGGUUGUUUAGUGUGUCUAAAGUGAAAGACCGAAGCCUAACUUCGUGUUUGCUUUGGAAACUACUAAACUUGAAGGGCAAAGAGGUGGUUGGAACUCUGCAAGUAGGGGUGAAAUCCGUUGAUAUGCAGGGGAACACCAAAAGCGAAGGCAGACCACUAGGUGCCUCUUGACACUGCUAGGACGAAAGCGUGGGGAGAGAACGGGAUUAGAUACCCCGGUAUUCCACGCCCUAAACGAUGAGUGCUAGUUUUUGGGGAAAGUUAAUCUUCCUCGGAGACAAAGCUAACGCAUUAAGCACUCCGCCUGUAGAGUACGAGCGCAAGCUUAAAACAUAAAGGAAUUGACGGGAACCCGCACAAGCGGUGGAUCAUGUGGCUUAAUUCGAUAAUAAGCGAGGAACCUCACCUAGGUUUGACAUGCAACUGCACGACUAAUGAAAGUUAGUUUCUUUCGAAGGUGUUGCACAGAUGAUGCACGGUCGUCGUCAGCUCGUGUCGUGAGAUGUUCGGUUAAGUCCGGUAACGAGCGCAACCCCAAUCCUUAGUUAUUUAAUGUCUAAGGAGACUGCCCGAGUUUAAUCGGGAGGAAGGCUGGGAUGACGUCAGAUCAGCGUGUCUCUUACAUCUAGGGCGGCACACAUGAUACAAUGGGUAAGGUACAACGGGACAGCAAAAGGGUGACCUGAAGCAAAUCCUAAAAAACCUCCCUCAGUACGGAUCGAAGUCUGCAACUCGACUUC
RNAcentral lists this ribosomal RNA (810 nucleotides) under uncultured organism. RNAcentral's name for it is "bacterial SSU rRNA". It matches the Rfam family "Bacterial small subunit ribosomal RNA", at positions 505 to 1319 of the family's 1533-position model. The record is from RNAcentral.